RNAcentral lists this ribosomal RNA (439 nucleotides) under uncultured bacterium. RNAcentral's name for it is "partial 16S ribosomal RNA". It matches the Rfam family "Bacterial small subunit ribosomal RNA", at positions 339 to 795 of the family's 1533-position model. The record is from RNAcentral.
CUACGGGUGGCAGCAGUGAGGAAUAUUGCACAAUGGGGGAAACCCUGAUGCAGCAACGCCGCGUGGAGGAUGACGCAUUUCGGUGUGUAAACUCCUUUUAUGAGUCAAGAAAAUGACGGUAGCUCAUGAAUAAGCACCGGCUAACUCCGUGCCAGCAGCCGCGGUAAUACGGAGGGUGCAAGCGUUACUCGGAAUCACUGGGCGUAAAGGACGCGUAGGCGGGCUUGUAAGUCAGGUGUGAAAUCCUACAGCUUAACUGUAGAACUGCACUUGAAACUACGAGCCUAGAGUAUGGGAGGGGCAGAUGGAAUUAGUGGUGUAGGGGUAAGAUCCGUAGAUAUCACUAGGAAUACCGAAAGCGAAGGCGAUCUGCUGGAACAUUACUGACGCUAAGGCGUGAAAGCGUGGGGAGCAAACGGGAUUAGAUACCCUAGUAGUC